UGGGGAAUAUUGCGCAAUGGGGGCAACCCUGACGCAGCCAUGCCGCGUGAGUGAAGAAGGCCUUCGGGUUGUAAAGCUCUUUCAGGUGUGACGAUGAUGACGGUAACACCAGAAGAAGCCCCGGCUAACUUCGUGCCAGCAGCCGCGGUAAUACGAAGGGGGCUAGCGUUGUUCGGAAUUACUGGGCGUAAAGAGCGCGUAGGCGGCUCAGCCAGUCGGGGGUGAAAGCCCAGGGCUCAACCCUGGAACGGCCUCCGAUACUGUUGAGCUUGAAUCCGUGAGAGGGUGGUGGAAUUCCCAGUGUAGAGGUGAAAUUCGUAGAUAUUGGGAGGAACACCAGUGGCGAAGGCGGCCACCUGGCGCGGUAUUGACGCUGAGGCGCGAAAGCGUGGGGAGCAAACAGGAUUAGAUACCCCCGUAGUCC
Molecule: ribosomal RNA, 424 nt
Filed under: uncultured prokaryote
Description: bacterial SSU rRNA
Rfam family: Bacterial small subunit ribosomal RNA
Source: RNAcentral